CGCAGAGUCUAUGCAUCUCUGAAUCACACAACAGCCGUGUCUAUGCGUGG
Molecule: non-coding RNA, 50 nt
Filed under: Plasmodium falciparum 3D7
Lineage: Eukaryota; Apicomplexa; Aconoidasida; Haemosporida; Plasmodiidae
Source: RNAcentral